UACGUAGGGACCAAGCGUUGUCCGGAAUCAUUGGGCGUAAAGAGCGUGUAGGCGGCUUGUUAAGUCUUGCGUGAAAUCUCGGGGCUCAACCCCGAGCGGUCGUGAGAAACUGGCAGGCUAGAGUGCGGGAGAGGAGAGUGGAAUUCCUGGUGUAGCGGUGAAAUGCGCAGAUAUCAGGAAGAACACCCGUGGCGAAGGCGGCUCUCUGGAACGCAACUGACGCUGAGACGCGAAAGCUAGGGGAGCGAACGGG
RNAcentral lists this ribosomal RNA (253 nucleotides) under uncultured bacterium. RNAcentral describes it as "partial 16S ribosomal RNA". It matches the Rfam family "Bacterial small subunit ribosomal RNA", at positions 524 to 776 of the family's 1533-position model. The record is from RNAcentral.